RNAcentral lists this ribosomal RNA (492 nucleotides) under uncultured bacterium. RNAcentral describes it as "partial 16S ribosomal RNA". It matches the Rfam family "Bacterial small subunit ribosomal RNA", at positions 29 to 507 of the family's 1533-position model. The record is from RNAcentral.
AGUGAACGCUGGCGGUAGGCCUAACACAUGCAAGUCGAACGGCAGCACAGUAAUAGCUUGCUCUUACGGGUGGCGAGUGGCGGACGGGUGAGGAAUACAUCGGAAUCUACUUUUUCGUGGGGGAUAACGUAGGGAAACUUACGCUAAUACCGCAUACGACCUACGGGUGAAAGCAUGGGAUCUUCGGACCUUGCGCGAUUGAAUGAGCCGAUGUCGGAUUAGCUAGUUGGCGGGGUAAAGGCCCACCAAGGCGACGAUCCGUAGCUGGUCUGAGAGGAUGAUCAGCCACACUGGAACUGAGACACGGUCCAGACUCCUACGGGAGGCAGCAGUGGGGAAUAUUGGACAAUGGGCGAAAGCCUGAUCCAGCCAUACCGCGUGGGUGAAGAAGGCCUUCGGGUUGUAAAGCCCUUUUGUUGGGAAAGAAAAGCAGUAGGUUAAUACCCCGCUGUUCUGACGGUACCCAAAGAAUAAGCACCGGCUAACUUCGUG